UACGGGGGGAGCAAGCGUUGUUCGGAUUUACUGGGCGUAAAGGGCGCGUAGGCGGUAGCACAAGUCAGUUGUGAAAUCUCCGGGCUUAACUCGGAAAGGUCAACUGAUACUGUGCGACUAGAGUGCAGAAGGGGCAACUGGAAUUCUCGGUGUAGCGGUGAAAUGCGUAGAUAUCGAGAGGAACACCUGCGGCGAAGGCGGGUUGCUGGGCCGACACUGACGCUGAGGCGCGAAAGCUAGGGGAGCGAACGGG
This 253-nucleotide ribosomal RNA is filed under the name uncultured bacterium. RNAcentral's name for it is "partial 16S ribosomal RNA". It matches the Rfam family "Bacterial small subunit ribosomal RNA", at positions 524 to 776 of the family's 1533-position model. The record is from RNAcentral.